Lytechinus pictus (painted urchin) is the source of this 239-nucleotide long non-coding RNA. RefSeq lists it as uncharacterized. The record is from RefSeq and is a predicted model, not a curated record. The transcript has 3 exons. Lineage: Eukaryota; Metazoa; Echinodermata; Echinoidea; Temnopleuroida; Toxopneustidae.
CCGUUUGAUCAUCUCUCACGCGCAAGAUGACUAUCCUGAGAGGUUUGAAUCCCAAAGAAGAGGUGUAAAAGGACUACAUCAAAUGAAUGAGGAUAAUUGAGUCGAUGUUACGAUGUCAGCUUUGCGAUGUAUUCUAAUAUUUCUAAUCCCACUUGCUUUGUCAUCGAUUAGUGGAGCUGUGUGCUCUCUGGAUCAUGUACCAACUUCCUUAUGCCAUUGCUCUCUGACCGACCACCGAA